CUCAUACUCCCUCCGUUCGGAAUUACUUGUCUCGGAAAUGGAUGUAUCUAGAACUAAAAUACGUCUAGAUACAUCCAUUUCCGCGACAAGUAAUUUUGUACGGAGGGAGUAAUAA
Non-coding RNA from Triticum aestivum (bread wheat), 115 nucleotides. NCBI's taxonomy places the organism in Eukaryota, Viridiplantae, Streptophyta, Magnoliopsida, Poales, Poaceae. The record is from Rfam.